AUUUCCAUAGUGUAAACAACACAUUACAUUUUCACUGUAAAAAUGCCUUACAGCUAGAAAUU
RNAcentral lists this transfer RNA (62 nucleotides) under Eremobates cf. palpisetulosus SEM-2008. RNAcentral describes it as "tRNA-Glu". The record is from RNAcentral. Lineage: Eukaryota; Metazoa; Arthropoda; Arachnida; Solifugae; Eremobatidae.